ACUCAAAGGAAUUGACGGGGACCCGCACAAGCGGUGGAGCGUGUGGUUUAAUUCGACAAUAAGCGAAGAACCUUACCAGGGCUUGACAUCCCGGGAACCUCUGAGAAAUCAGAGGGUGCCGCAAGGAGCCCGGUGACAGGUGCUGCAUGGCCGUCGUCAGCUCGUGUCGUGAGAUGUUGGGUUAAGUCCCGCAACGAGCGCAACCCUUGUCGUGUGUUGUAUUUUUCACGCGAGACUGCCUCGGUCAACGAGGAGGAAGGUGGGGAUGACGUCAGGUCAGCAUGGCCCUUAUGCCCUGGGCGACACACGCGCUACAAUGGCCGGUACAAUGGGUCGCGAAAUCGCGAGAUGGAGCUAAUCCCACUCAAAACCGGUCCCAGUUCGGAUUGGAGUCUGCAACUCGACUCCAUGAAGCCGGAAUCGCUAGUAAACGCGGAUCAGCCACGCUGCGUUGAAUACGUUCUCGGGUCUUGUACACACCGCCCGU
This 487-nucleotide ribosomal RNA is filed under the name uncultured bacterium. Its description in RNAcentral is "partial 16S ribosomal RNA". It matches the Rfam family "Bacterial small subunit ribosomal RNA", at positions 899 to 1397 of the family's 1533-position model. The record is from RNAcentral.